CCUACGGGAGGCAGCAGUGGGGAAUAUUGCGCAAUGGGCGAAAGCCUGACGCAGCGACGCCGCGUGAGGGAUGAAGGUCUUCGGAUCGUAAACCUCUGUCAGCAUGGAAGAACGGUCACUGUGCUAAUCAGCAGUGAAUUGACGGUACCUGCAAAGGAAGCACCGGCUAACUCCGUGCCAGCAGCUGCGGUAAUACGGCGGGUGCGAGCGUUAAUCGGAAUUACUGGGCGUAAAGCGCUCGUAGGCGGUAUGUCAAGUCAAGGGGGAAAUCCCCGCGCUCAACGUGGGAACUGCCUUUGAAACUGGCAAACUGGAGUGUGUGAGAGGAUAGUGGAAUUCCAGGUGUAGGAGUGAAAUCCGUAGAUAUCUGGAGGAACAUCAGUGGCGAAGGCGACUAUCUGGCACAUAACUGACGCUGAGGAGCGAAAGCGUGGGUAGCAAACAGGAUUAGAUACCCCAGUAGUC
This 465-nucleotide ribosomal RNA is filed under the name uncultured bacterium. RNAcentral describes it as "partial 16S ribosomal RNA". It matches the Rfam family "Bacterial small subunit ribosomal RNA", at positions 338 to 795 of the family's 1533-position model. The record is from RNAcentral.